Passer domesticus (house sparrow) is the source of this 553-nucleotide long non-coding RNA. RefSeq lists it as uncharacterized. The transcript is spliced from 2 exons. The record is from RefSeq and is a predicted model, not a curated record. NCBI's taxonomy places the organism in Eukaryota, Metazoa, Chordata, Aves, Passeriformes, Passeridae.
AGCUGCUUUUGCCCCAGCUAAAGCACCUCUGCAGCAACCCUUCUGUCCCCUCCACCCCAAUGAAUUUUUAAACCAGCACCAGAAAAGCUGACACUACUAACCCAGAGCAGGCAGAGAAAGAGAAUUACCUUCAAACGCCUUCUGGGCUCUAUCUGCAUCAUCUUGGUUUUUAUCUGGGUGAACCAAUAUUGACAGCUGCAAGAAAAAGAAUCCUGCCAUCAAGAUCAUGGUCUGUCAGCAGAGGCAGGCUGGGGUGAUGUUUCCUGUGUUGCAGACCUGCCAGGAAGCAGGGCUGCUUCUUUCCCAGGUAACCAAGCCCUAAAAAUGACCAUGGAAAUUCUUAAACCUCAGAGAAAAUCUGGAUCCAAGUCCAUAUAUUUGAGAAAAAUACCUUUUGAUGUUCCUUUUGAACUGAAGCUCAAGAGGCUGAUCACACACGGCUAUAUUAGCUGGCAAUAGCCCCAUCACACACAGGACAGGCAAAGCAGCCUAUCCUGCUUGGAGCAGGGACACUGCUGCAGCUCUCCUCUUGUUGACACAAGCAUUGUUCUAU